RNAcentral lists this small nuclear RNA (159 nucleotides) under Betta splendens (Siamese fighting fish). RNAcentral describes it as "U1 spliceosomal RNA (ENSBSLG00000004646.1)". It matches the Rfam family "U1 spliceosomal RNA". Rfam says of the family: U1 is a small nuclear RNA (snRNA) component of the spliceosome (involved in pre-mRNA splicing). Its 5' end forms complementary base pairs with the 5' splice junction, thus defining the 5' donor site of an intron. The record is from Rfam by way of RNAcentral. Lineage: Eukaryota; Metazoa; Chordata; Actinopteri; Anabantiformes; Osphronemidae.
AUACUUACCUGGCAGGGGAGAUACCAUGAUCAUGUAGGUGGUUCACCCAGGGCGAGGCUCACCAUUGCACUGAGGCUGUCUGACCUCUGCGAAUUCCCCAAAUGUGGAAUCUCGACUGCAUAAUUUCUGUGUGGGGGACUGCGUUCGCGCUCUCCUCCU